This 2900-nucleotide ribosomal RNA is filed under the name Klebsiella pneumoniae CHS 66. Its description in RNAcentral is "bacterial LSU rRNA". It matches the Rfam family "Bacterial large subunit ribosomal RNA". Lineage: Bacteria; Pseudomonadati; Pseudomonadota; Gammaproteobacteria; Enterobacterales; Enterobacteriaceae. The record is from RNAcentral.
UUAAGCGACUAAGCGUACACGGUGGAUGCCCUGGCAGUCAGAGGCGAUGAAGGACGUGCUAAUCUGCGAAAAGCGUCGGUAAGGUGAUAUGAACCGUUAUAACCGGCGAUGUCCGAAUGGGGAAACCCAGUGCAAUUCGUUGCACUAUCGUUAACUGAAUACAUAGGUUAACGAGGCGAACCGGGGGAACUGAAACAUCUAAGUACCCCGAGGAAAAGAAAUCAACCGAGAUUCCCCCAGUAGCGGCGAGCGAACGGGGAGCAGCCCAGAGUCUGAAUCAGCUUGUGUGUUAGUGGAACGGUCUGGAAAGUCCGACGGUACAGGGUGAUAGUCCCGUACACCAAAAUGCACAGGCUGUGAACUCGAAGAGUAGGGCGGGACACGUGGUAUCCUGUCUGAAUAUGGGGGGACCAUCCUCCAAGGCUAAAUACUCCUGACUGACCGAUAGUGAACCAGUACCGUGAGGGAAAGGCGAAAAGAACCCCGGCGAGGGGAGUGAAAAAGAACCUGAAACCGUGUACGUACAAGCAGUGGGAGCACCUUCGGGUGUGACUGCGUACCUUUUGUAUAAUGGGUCAGCGACUUAUAUUCUGUAGCAAGGUUAACCGUAUAGGGGAGCCGCAGGGAAACCGAGUCUUAACUGGGCGUUAAGUUGCAGGGUAUAGACCCGAAACCCGGUGAUCUAGCCAUGGGCAGGUUGAAGGUUGGGUAACACUAACUGGAGGACCGAACCGACUAAUGUUGAAAAAUUAGCGGAUGACUUGUGGCUGGGGGUGAAAGGCCAAUCAAACCGGGAGAUAGCUGGUUCUCCCCGAAAGCUAUUUAGGUAGCGCCUCGUGAACUCAUCUUCGGGGGUAGAGCACUGUUUCGGCUAGGGGGUCAUCCCGACUUACCAACCCGAUGCAAACUACGAAUACCGAAGAAUGUUAUCACGGGAGACACACGGCGGGUGCUAACGUCCGUCGUGAAGAGGGAAACAACCCAGACCGCCAGCUAAGGUCCCAAAGUCAUGGUUAAGUGGGAAACGAUGUGGGAAGGCACAGACAGCCAGGAUGUUGGCUUAGAAGCAGCCAUCAUUUAAAGAAAGCGUAAUAGCUCACUGGUCGAGUCGGCCUGCGCGGAAGAUGUAACGGGGCUAAACCAUGCACCGAAGCUGCGGCAGCGACACUAUGUGUUGUUGGGUAGGGGAGCGUUCUGUAAGCCUGCGAAGGUGUGCUGUGAGGCGUGCUGGAGGUAUCAGAAGUGCGAAUGCUGACAUAAGUAACGAUAAAGCGGGUGAAAAGCCCGCUCGCCGGAAGACCAAGGGUUCCUGUCCAACGUUAAUCGGGGCAGGGUGAGUCGACCCCUAAGGCGAGGCCGAAAGGCGUAGUCGAUGGGAAACAGGUUAAUAUUCCUGUACUUGGUGUUACUGCGAAGGGGGGACGGAGAAGGCUAUGUUAGCCGGGCGACGGUUGUCCCGGUUUAAGCAUGUAGGCUGGUUGUCCAGGCAAAUCCGGAUAAUCAAGGCUGAGGUGUGAUGACGAGGCACUACGGUGCUGAAGUAACAAAUGCCCUGCUUCCAGGAAAAGCCUCUAAGCAUCAGGUAACAUCAAAUCGUACCCCAAACCGACACAGGUGGUCAGGUAGAGAAUACCAAGGCGCUUGAGAGAACUCGGGUGAAGGAACUAGGCAAAAUGGUGCCGUAACUUCGGGAGAAGGCACGCUGGUGUGUAGGUGAAGUCCCUGCGGAUGGAGCUGAGACCAGUCGAAGAUACCAGCUGGCUGCAACUGUUUAUUAAAAACACAGCACUGUGCAAACACGAAAGUGGACGUAUACGGUGUGACGCCUGCCCGGUGCCGGAAGGUUAAUUGAUGGGGUUAUCCGUAAGGAGAAGCUCUUGAUCGAAGCCCCGGUAAACGGCGGCCGUAACUAUAACGGUCCUAAGGUAGCGAAAUUCCUUGUCGGGUAAGUUCCGACCUGCACGAAUGGCGUAAUGAUGGCCAGGCUGUCUCCACCCGAGACUCAGUGAAAUUGAACUCGCUGUGAAGAUGCAGUGUACCCGCGGCAAGACGGAAAGACCCCGUGAACCUUUACUAUAGCUUGACACUGAACAUUGAGCCUUGAUGUGUAGGAUAGGUGGGAGGCUUUGAAGCGUGGACGCCAGUCUGCGUGGAGCCAACCUUGAAAUACCACCCUUUAAUGUUUGAUGUUCUAACGUUGGCCCCUGACCGGGGUUGCGGACAGUGUCUGGUGGGUAGUUUGACUGGGGCGGUCUCCUCCCAAAGCGUAACGGAGGAGCACGAAGGUUAGCUAAUCCUGGUCGGACAUCAGGAGGUUAGUGCAAUGGCAUAAGCUAGCUUGACUGCGAGCGUGACGGCGCGAGCAGGUGCGAAAGCAGGUCAUAGUGAUCCGGUGGUUCUGAAUGGAAGGGCCAUCGCUCAACGGAUAAAAGGUACUCCGGGGAUAACAGGCUGAUACCGCCCAAGAGUUCAUAUCGACGGCGGUGUUUGGCACCUCGAUGUCGGCUCAUCACAUCCUGGGGCUGAAGUAGGUCCCAAGGGUAUGGCUGUUCGCCAUUUAAAGUGGUACGCGAGCUGGGUUUAGAACGUCGUGAGACAGUUCGGUCCCUAUCUGCCGUGGGCGCUGGAGAAUUGAGGGGGGCUGCUCCUAGUACGAGAGGACCGGAGUGGACGCAUCACUGGUGUUCGGGUUGUCAUGCCAAUGGCACUGCCCGGUAGCUAAAUGCGGAAGAGAUAAGUGCUGAAAGCAUCUAAGCACGAAACUUGCCCCGAGAUGAGUUCUCCCUGAGACUUUAAGUCUCCUGAAGGAACGUUAAAGACGAUGACGUUGAUAGGCCGGGUGUGUAAGCGCAGCGAUGCGUUGAGCUAACCGGUACUAAUGAACCGUGAGGCUUAACCUU